AGUGCGUAAUAGCUCACUGGUCGAGUGAAGUUGCGCGGAAAAUUACCGGGGCUAAACUAUACACCGAAAUUGCGGAUUCAUGAGUAAUCAUGAGUGGUAGAGGAGCAUUCUAUAGUAGGACGAAGGUAGAUCGAAAGGACUGCUGGACGAGAUAGAAGAGAGAAUGCCGGAAUAAGUAGCGAAAGCAUGGUGAGAAUCCAUGCCAUCGAAAGUCUAAGGUUUCCUGGGGAAGGUUCGUCCGCCCAGGGUAAGUCGGGACCUAAGGAGAGGCCGAAAGGCGUAUCUGAUGGACAGCAGGUAGAAAUUCCUGCACCACCGAUAUACUUAAAAAAUGCAAGGGACACAGUAGUGGAAGGAAAGCGAGGAAGAGGAAAGACUCGUAUCGAAAGAUAUAGUGAAAAAAUAAGUAACGAAUUUCCAAGAAGCACACUGGCGAGAAAAGCUUGUAGGAAUUGUAUAAAGGUGCCCGUACCGCAAACCGACACAGGUAGAUGAGGAGAGGAUCCUAAGAUGAGCGAGAGAAGCAUUGUUAAGGAACUCGGCAAAUUGACCCCGUAACUUAGGGAGAAGGGGUGCCAAAGUAAAAUUUGGUCGCAGAGAAGAGGCCCAAGCAACUGUUUAACAAAAACACAGGUUUCUGCUAAAUCGAAAGAUGAAGUAUAGGAGCUGACGCCUGCCCAGUGCUGGAAGGUUAAGGGGAAGAGUUAGAUGUAAGUCGAAGCUUAGAACCAAAGCCCCAGUGAACGGCGGCCGUAACUAUAACGGUCCUAAGGUAGCGAAAUUCCUUGUCAGGUAAGUUCUGACCCGCACGAAAGGCGUAAUGAUUUGGGCGCUGUCUCGACAAUGUACUCGGCGAAAUUGUAGUACUAGUGAAGAUGCUAGUUACCUGCGACAAGACAGAAAGACCCCAUGGAGCUUUACUGUAGCUUGAUACUGGGUUUCGAUAAUUUAUGUACAGGAUAGGUGGGAGGCGAAGAAGCAAUUGCGCCAGCAGUUGUGGAGUCAUCCUUGGGAUACCACCCUUAAGUUAUUGAAAUUCUAACCUGUAGUCCUGAGCGGGCUAGGGGACAAUGUCAGGCGGGCAGUUUGACUGGGGCGGUCGCCUCCAAAAGAGUAACGGAGGCGCGCAAAGGUUUCCUCAGCGCGGACAGAAAUCGCGCGAAAGAGUGCAAAGGCAGAAGGAAGCUUAACUGAGAGACUGACAAGUCGACCAGAUACGAAAGUAGGUCUUAGUGAUCCGGCGGUAGUGAGUGGAAAUGCCGUCGCUCAACGGACAAAAGUUACCCUGGGGAUAACAGGCUUAUCUCCCCCAAGAGUUCACAUCGACGGGGAGGUUUGGCACCUCGAUGUCGGCUCAUCGCAUCCUGGAGCGGAAGUACGUUCCAAGGGUUGGGCUGUUCGCCCAUUAAAGCGGUACGCGAGCUGGGUUCAGAACGUCGUGAGACAGUUCGGUCCUUAUCUGUCGCAGGCGCAGGAUAUUUGAGGGGAGUUGACCUUAGUACGAGAGGACCAGGUUGAACUUACCAAUGGUGUAUCAGUUGUCGUACCAACGGCACGGCUGAGUAGCUAAGUAGGGAAGGGAUAAACGCUGAAAGCAUCUAAGUGUGAAGCCCACCCCAAGAUAAGAUAUCCCAUACCGUAAGGUAGUAAGAUUCCACGUAGACUAUGUGGUAGAUAGGUUGGAGGUGUAAGUGCAGUAAUGCAUUAAGCUGACCAAUACUAAUAAAUCGAGGGCUUAACCA
This 1742-nucleotide ribosomal RNA is filed under the name human metagenome. RNAcentral describes it as "bacterial LSU rRNA". It matches the Rfam family "Bacterial large subunit ribosomal RNA", at positions 1129 to 2925 of the family's 2925-position model. The record is from RNAcentral.